Molecule: non-coding RNA, 72 nt
Organism: Spirodela intermedia
Lineage: Eukaryota; Viridiplantae; Streptophyta; Magnoliopsida; Alismatales; Araceae
Source: the annotation of a GenBank genome assembly
GCGCCUGUAGCUCAGUGGAUAGAGCGUCUGAUUCCUGCUCAAAAGUCGUAGGUUCGACCCUAACCUGGCGCA